AUACGGCGGAUGCGAGCGUUAUCCGGAUUUAUUGGGUUUAAAGGGUGCGUAGGCUGUGCGUUCAGUCAGGGGUGAAAUGCCGUCGCUCAACGACGGAGCUGCCCUUGAUACUGGCGUGCUGGAGUACGGAUGCCGUUGGAGGAAUGAGUGGUGUAGCGGUGAAAUGCUUAGAUAUCACUCAGAACACCGAUUGCGAAGGCAUCUGACGAAUCCGUCACUGACGCUGAGGCACGAAAGCGUGGGGAUAGAACAGGAUUAGAUACCCUGGUAUUCCACGCCGUAAACGAUGAUGACUAACCGUCGGCGAUAGACAGCCGGUGGCCAAGCGAAAGCGAUAAGUCAUCCACCUGGGGAGUACGUCGGCAACGAUGAAACUCAAAUGAAUUGACGGGG
This 393-nucleotide ribosomal RNA is filed under the name uncultured bacterium. RNAcentral describes it as "partial 16S ribosomal RNA". It matches the Rfam family "Bacterial small subunit ribosomal RNA", at positions 523 to 918 of the family's 1533-position model. The record is from RNAcentral.